This 321-nucleotide ribosomal RNA is filed under the name Triticum aestivum (bread wheat). RNAcentral describes it as "partial small subunit ribosomal RNA". Lineage: Eukaryota; Viridiplantae; Streptophyta; Magnoliopsida; Poales; Poaceae. The record is from RNAcentral.
UACGACUACUCCCGCGGCGAGGUCGUCAUCUUGGCGUCGCCGGUGGACCACCGGAGGAAGACGGUCGAGAGGCUGAUUGGGCUGCCCGGCGACUGGGUCGGCCUCCCGGAGAAGGAGGAGGUCCGGAAGAUACCGGAGGGCCACUGCUGGGUUGAAGGGGGCAACGGCAGCGUCAGCCGGGACUCGAGAGCCUACGGCCCUGUGCCGCUCGGUCUGGUGCAGGGGAGGGUGACGCACGUGGUGUGGCCGCCUAGCAAGAUGGGCCGCGUCCACAAGAGGGUGCCGUCGGAAGGAAGGGUCAUGCCACAGCGCAAUCUCUAG